CCAACAGGGAUUACCUCAGUAACGGCGAGUGAAGCGGUAUAAGCUCAAAUUUGAAAUCUGGCUCUUUCAGGGUCCGAGUUGUAAUUUGCAGAAGAUGCUUCGGGUGUGGUUCCGGUCUAAGUUCCUUGGAACAGGACGUCAUAGAGGGUGAGAAUCCCGUAUGUGACUGGAUACCUUCGCCCAUGUGAAGCUCUUUCGACGAGUCGAGUUGUUUGGGAAUGCAGCUCAAAAUGGGUGGUAUAUUUCAUCUAAAGCUAAAUAUUGGCCAGAGACCGAUAGCGCACAAGUAGAGUGAUCGAAAGAUGAAAAGCACUUUGGAAAGAGAGUUAAACAGUACGUGAAAUUGUUGAAAGGGAAGCGCUUGCAAUCAGACUUGCGCCUAGUUGAUCAUCUGGGCUUCUGUCCAGUGCACUCGAUUAGGCUCAGGCCAGCAUCAGUUUGGGUGGUUGGAUAAAGGCCUGAGGAAUGUGGCUUCCUUCGGGGAGUGUUAUAGCCUCAGGUGCAAUGCAGCCUACCCGGACUGAGGACCGCGCUUCGGCUAGGAUGCUGGCGUAAUGGUUGUAAGCGACCCGUCUUGAAACACGGACCAAGGAGUCGACCUAUUUAGCGAGUGUUUGGGUGUUAAACCCAUACGCGUAAUGAAAGUGAACGGAGGUGAGAACCCUUAAGGGCGCAUCAUCGACCGAUCCUGAUGUCUUCGGAUGGAUUUGAGUAAGAGCUAAGUGGGUCGGACCCGAAAGAUGGUGAUCUAUACGUGAAUAGGGUGAAGCCAGAGGAAACUCUGGUGGAGGCUCGCAGCGGUUCUGACGUGCAAAUCGAUCGUCAAAUUUGCGUAUAGGGGCGAAAGACUAA
Molecule: ribosomal RNA, 852 nt
Filed under: Moellerodiscus sp. 1 FC-2823
Lineage: Eukaryota; Fungi; Ascomycota; Leotiomycetes; Helotiales; Sclerotiniaceae
Description: LSU rRNA
Rfam family: Eukaryotic large subunit ribosomal RNA
Source: RNAcentral